Molecule: ribosomal RNA, 466 nt
Filed under: uncultured bacterium
Lineage: Bacteria
Description: partial 16S ribosomal RNA
Rfam family: Bacterial small subunit ribosomal RNA
Source: RNAcentral
GACGAACGCUGGCGGCGCGCCUAACACAUGCAAGUCGAACGAGCGAGAGAGAGCUUGCUUUCUCAAGCGAGUGGCGAACGGGUGAGUAACGCGUGAGGAACCUGCCUCAAAGAGGGGGACAACAGUUGGAAACGACUGCUAAUACCGCAUAAGCCCACGACCCGGCAUCGGGUAGAGGGAAAAGGAGCAAUCCGCUUUGAGAUGGCCUCGCGUCCGAUUAGCUAGUUGGUGAGGUAACGGCCCACCAAGGCGACGAUCGGUAGUCGGACUGAGAGGUUGAACGGCCACAUUGGGACUGAGACACGGCCCAGACUCCUACGGGAGGCAGCAGUGGGGAAUAUUGCACAAUGGGGGAAACCCUGAUGCAGCGACGCCGCGUGGAGGAAGAAGGUCUUCGGAUUGUAAACUCCUGUUGUUGAGGAAGAUAAUGACGGUACUCAACAAGGAAGUGACGGCUAACUACGUG